UUAACAAUGGAAGAUUGCUGGAAAUCUUCAUCAAUCCCUUUAACUUCUUCAAGUUUCGAUGGUUGUGGUGCUUCGAUGCUGUUCACUGAUGAACAACCCUGUCUAGGUACACACAUGUGGGUAGACAGCAUAUUGCUAUUUGGGGUUGAUGGUUUCUGAGAAAAUUUUGUAUCAACUUCCUUGUCCAUCUCUAUCACUUUGAAUCUGAUCCUUUUAUGCUUCAAUGCGUGAUCAAUAGUAAAAGGUUCAUCACAUACAAAACAUAAACCCAAUUCCAUCUUCUCCUCCACAUCGAGAGCACUCAAAAUUUUCACCAAAUUAUGUUUUGAACCCAUNNNNACGGGUAAAUAGAUUCUAGGGACGAAACCGAUAGAAUCGAGUCUUAAAGUAGGAAUUCUAAUGAAUUGAGUAGAAUUCGGUACAAAUGAGAUUAUGCAAACAUGAGAGAGUUUUGAUUCUUGAGAAGAAGAUAAUUUGUUGAAUAUUAAUUGAUUUCUUUCAAAUGAGGCACAAGAUCUUUAAAUACAACUCUCAGGGCUAAAAGAGUAAAUAACAUAAAAUAAACUAUUUAUUUAAAAUAAACUAUUAAACUAUACUUAAUUCAUAAAGUGUUCAACCUCCACUUUUCUAAGUAAUGUGGGAUUUAACCACUCACACUUACCACAACUAUCUCCCACUCAAGUGUGAGUCCAUCCAUUCUUGGAUAUGCUCCCCGGCCCUCAAGCAGAAGCUUUCUUCAUCCUACACUUGUACCACUGUAAGCCACAUUGCUCGACGGGACUCGCCGCCUGACCACCUUUGUCAAGAAGACUUUCGAUACAUGGAGCCAGUUCAACCCUUUGUCGAUCCAUCGACUCUAAUACCAUUGUUGGGUCAUUACGAGGGGACAACCGGUGGAUCAUCCCCAUUGGGUUCAAGAACAACUUCACAUGUGAGUUGGACACCACACUUUUAUAGGCGCACACAUAAAUGAUAAAAAGUAAAUCAUAAAUAUAAUUUAUUCACAUCAAUUGACGACAUUGACUAUUUGAGUUUUGUAUGUGUGCCCAAAUUUAAAUAGUUCGUGGUUGUGCCCAUAAAAGUGUUCCGGCCUCCAUAUUAUUUUAGAAAAUUUGAUUGAACUUUCUAAAUAAUCUUUCCAAAAAAUGACCCAAGAACAUGGUCAUUAUAUUCUUAUCCCUAAAAUAUUGUGUAACUUAUUUCAUAAUUUUUUUUAUCAUCAAAUAUAUAAACAUGUAUACAGUAAAUGAGAAUAUCAAAAUCAUAAAAUUUAUCGUAAUAGUUGCACCUAAUUUUGCAAGAAUCAAAAUAAUCAAAUUACUCGGGUCUAAAAUUGCAAAACAAACUUGCAAACGGCAAAACAGAAUAACAAGAGUUGCAAGACUCUAAGUUAACUAAAGUUAUGGCUCACUAAAGUUAUGGCUCACAAAAUAACAAGGUUGAUGCAAUUUACCAGUUUAUACUAAUAAUAUGAAUGCAGCUGUGAGUUUGUUUACAAUAUUUUAUUUUUUUUAGCAAUUUUAAUUUUAUAUUAUAUCAAUGUAAUCUAUUAAUCUAAAUGAAUAUUUGAAAUAACAGAAGUGCAAGACACUCUAAAUUAACUAAAGUUAUAUUUUACAAAAUAACAAGGUUUAAGAUUGAGAUAUGUUACGACAAAAAGUGAAAAAAAUUAUUGGAUUUAGAAUAAAAAAAAAAAUUUAAUGAGCUGAACAAACUUUUAUUUACAAUAAAAUAUUAGUGUUUUUUUAUAAAAAAAAAAAAAUUAGUUUUGUUAGUAAUUAUGUUGGGAGUGAUUUUCAAACACUCAACCAAUUCCUUACCACUCCACUUCUCAACUCUACAAUAUCUUCAAGCCAUCAUAUUCUAUCCCCUAUCAAAUCAAAAUACAAAAUAUAUGCACAGUUAGGAAAAUGAUUAGGAAUUAGAUGUUGAUGUUUGAAGUGUGAAUUGAGUUUAUAUCAGAUCAAAAAGUAGACGUUAUGAUCCAUGAAACUAAUAAUACCUUAAGGUUUUCCGUUAAUUAUGAUGUGUUGUCUAACUCACUUGUGUAGUUGUUCAAGACCCGAUAUGAUGAUCCUUAAACCCCCUCGUGACCCAUGCAACAAUAGUAUCAGAGUUAAUGGUUUGACGAAGGGUUCGAUCGACUCUAGCUUGUAUGUCUUCCUAACAAAGGUGGUCAGACAACAUGUCCGUUGAGUGCCACAACUGCGGUGCAAGUGUAUGGAUGAAAAAAAUUCCGUUUGAGGGAGAACAUGCCCAUAAAAAAAUGGAUGGACUCACACUUGAGGGGAAAAUUGUUGGUAUUUCAAGUGUGAGUUGAGUCUCAUAUCAAAUGUAGUGAAUUUUGAACAUUUUAUUAGUGAAAUGACCCAUGAACGUAAUGCCUUAAAGUUUGAGUUAAGAUGUGGUGUUCAAUUCGUUGAAGACCUAUAUGAUCUCGAAUCCCCUAGUAACCCAACAUUAGAUACAUAUUGACAAGUUGUUUCUUCUUGACAAAACACACAUCUAGUUGUGAAUGGGAUAUUUUUUUGCAAGUUGUUUAAUACGUUAAAUUAUAUUGAGAAACUGGGGUAUAGAGUUUGCCUUGUUUCAUACCCAUUACUAGGUUGUUAACAUGAAUUAAAUUGAAAUCCAAAAUAGGAAAAUUUUGUGCAGUAUAACACACGCACAAGUUCAUAUGCCUACAAAUUUUGAGUCGGCUAGGCUCCGAUUGCAGUGACUAUAGGGCAAGUUCAACAUCCUUUAGAAGGUGAGAGAUCAUAAGAGUCAAUGAUGUAAAUAGGAUUAUUUAAUUAUUAGAACAAAAUCAACAAUAUACAAUUAAACUUGCUUUCAUUCAUAUAUUUGUUAGAAUUAUUGGUUCAAACACGCGUUCUUACAUGUGUUUUCCUUUCACUUCUGACCUAAGUAAUAAUUAAUUUUUAAUAAAUUUCUUUUUUUUUAUAAGCAAAAUAUAUUAUAAUGGAGUAUAAGGGGUACUUGAACCCUUAUAAUUCAAAGUCAGAAGUUAAAUGCUUUGAAUACAUCCCAAAGGGUCAUGACACCAGUCCUUAAAUGAUAAAUUAGAGUUUCGGCCAUACCGACUACUAAACCAAACCCACGAACUGAAUUUAAUGUCAUCCACAAGAAGAAGAGCAUUUGGAAAAGCUCCCUUGAAAAUCACACUAUUUCUAAGCUUCCAUAUGUUCCAAGAAGUUGCCAGCCAAAUCAAAUGUUUAACCCGUCCACCCUUCUUUGAUUUUACCAUGUCACCAAAUAGCGCAAAAUGAUUCCAACCUUUUUUAUUCGGUGGAAGUCUCUUUCCUAUCCACUUAAAAAUCGCUUCCCAAAUUCGUUUGCUAAACGGACAGAGGAAAAAAAGAUGGUUGCAAUCCUCAUUAUCAAGAAAGCAAAAAACACAAGAUAACUCAUGCACGUUAAUAAGGAUACCUCUGUAAAAAAAUAGUGAGAGAAUUUAAGAUAUUAAGUCAAACUCUCAAUUCUAAGACGGUAUCAGAGUCUCUCGAAUAUUCAUUGAGUUUAAUAGUAUUGGGCGUAAGAGGGGUAUGUAAGGUGAGGCAAUUUCAUCCAUCUCACUUCCGAUGUGGACUUCUUAACCGUUGUCAUAGGGCACGUGUUUAGUGCGACAAAAAGUGAGUGUCAAGUAAGGUGGAAUUCAGUUGCAUUGUAAUAGUCAAGAGUGUCAUAUAUUUAUUUUACAAAUAAUCAAGUGUAUCACACCAAAACCAAACAUAUUAAUGUGGUUUUUCACAAGAUCAAGGAGAUGAUAUGAUUUUUUAUGUUUUUUUAAUGCGGAAUUUGAUAAGAUAUAUUUUUAAGGUUUCUAAAAGAAGGUGAAGAAUAAUUAAGUAGUACAGAAAGAUAAUUAGAAACAGGAUAAGAACUAGCUAGAUAUUUAUCGACAAGUUUUUUAUUUUUGUUGACAAAUUACACAUUGUCAAGUUGUUUUCAGCCUAUUACGUUAAAACUAUAAUUAGAAACUGGGGUAUAGAAUUUGCCUUGUUUCAUACCCAUUAGUAAGUUGUUAACAUGCAUUAUUGAAAUAAAAAAUAUAUAAGAAAUUUUGUCAGCAACACAUCCAAGAGUCCGAUUGCAUUGACAAUAUGGCAAGGUCAGCAUAUAUAUAUCCUUUAGAAGGUGACAGAUCUAAGAGUCAAUGUAAAAAUCAUUUGUUGAUUAUUAAAACAAAAUCAAUCACUAUUAUACUUGCUUUACUUUUUUUUUGAAGUCGUUUUAAUCUCCUCCCGAUUGCGUAUANNNNNNNNNNNNNNNNNNNNNNNNNNNNNNNNNNNNNNNNNNNNNNNNNNNNNNNNNNNNNNNNNNNNNNNNNNNNNNNNNNNNNNNNNNNNNNNNNNNNNAAAACGUUAUUGAGAGGUGUAACAUUUGGUGUCAAACUAGUUGGUGUCAACGGAUCCUGACUCUAUAUAUAUAUAUAUAUAAAUUAAAGACUUACUCAAACGAAUAUGAGUUACAAUACCCAUGUAUAUAAGUUUGGUGUUAAUGGUUCAUUCAAUGAAUUUUCAAUUUUAUAUAUAAAGGUCAUACAAUGUUCACAUAAUUAUAUUAAGUAGAAUAAUAAUUAAAAUAACACAUUAUAAGAGUAAUUACAUUUAACCAUAAAUAUCUUCAUUGUGCAAUAUCAUAUACUCGAUAGAAGUAUCAAUAUUAUACUUAUAUUUGUCUAUUAUGAACUUACAAAAUGUGAAAUUUGGGUGAAACACUAGCAUAAUAUAAUUUCGAGUGAUGGUCGGAAUAGCGAUCAGAGUUGUAGUCGGUGGUGACAACUGAUGGUGGUGGUUUUCAAUGGUCAAAGUGGUAGUCAGAGUGGUGAUGGGUGAUGGUGUAAUUGGUAAUAUGGUCAAACUGAUUAUCAAAAGUGAAUAGAAUAUUGAUCAACACUGAUCAAAUUAAUGGUCGAGAGUAAUCAAAGUGGUGGUUGACGAUAGUCGAUGGCGGUCCACGGAGUGGUGGUUUAAUGUGGGGUUUGGUUUUUAACAAUUGGUUUAGGAAUUAUAUCAUCGAGUUCCACAAGCAACUUACAUGCUCUACUCCAAUUCUCACAACUUCAUUAUACCAAUAAAACAAAAUACAAUAAUUCAUACAUUUACAAAUUUAAAUAUGAUCACAAGCAUAAUCAUGAAAUGAAAGGUCACCAAAUUUAUUAAAAUUUAAAGAACAAGUUGCUAAAUGAGGCAAACAGGCUUACCCCAUUAUUAAAAUUACACACAUCUCACGCAUAAAUAAAUAUAGUGCAUAUUUUCAAUUAAAGUAUGAAUUUAGCAAAAUCACAUUGACACACUUCGAUUUUGUCAAAAGUCACACUUUGUAACUCCAACAAAAUCAUAGUAUCCCUAUAAUUUAGUUAAAGUCAUUGUAAUUCCAAUUGUGCACACAAACAAUAACUGAAAUAAAAUUAAGUACCCGUGACCCUUGUAGAAACAUAAGUACUAAGCAUAUGGCUUUGAAGUACUUUUGACAUGAUCAAAUUCUAAGAACAUUGGAAACCAGAAGGAACGGAUUUUUCACAAGCACUAAGUAAGAGACUUAAUGUGAUAGGAACAUUCAAAUUGAUACCAAGAACAUUAGCCUUAAUAGCAGUACAAAGACAAAGUGCUGCAUCCAAAUCAGCCAAACCUUGAAUCAAUGCACAACACUUGCUUGAAGCAGGACUUCCAACAAUAAUAUUACCAAGUCCUAAAAGAUUAGCACAAACACCUAGUUUUAAUGUGUCCCUAGGACAUUUUUGUGUGGUUGAAGGAGGUGGGGUACUACCCUUAGGUGGAGUAGUAGCCUUGGGUGGAGGACUAGGUUUAGGUGUUGUUGAAUGUGGUGGUGGACUAGCCUUAGGUGUUUUUGGUGGUGGUGGAGGACAAGGUGUAGGUGGUGGAGGGCUAGGCUUAGGUUUUGGAGAUGGAGUUGGUUUGCAUGUACCACAAGCAUGAGAAAAUGUUGAAUAAGCAAGAAGAGAAAACAAUAUAAUUAGUGCACUAAGCUUGUUGGAAGCCAUUUUUACACUAAUGUGUUUUUGUGUGUUUUGAUGUUGAAUAUUAGAAUGAGAAAGAAAGGGAGGAUUAGACCAUUUUUAUAGGCAAAAUUUUGUGAGUGGUGUUAAUUUGUUUUUUUACUAGACAUUUAGAAUGUCUCAUCACUAAAAUAUUGCUCAUAAUAAUUGAGACCGAAUAAAAAUUAAAAUAUUCUUUUUAUUUUUUACUCAAAAAAUAUAUUAUCUAUCAUCUCAUCACCCCUCUCUAUCCCUCAUGUGUCUAUUUCCUCCCCUCACUUUCUCUGCCUCCAACCCUCUCGAUCUCCUAUCUCUCUUUUUGUUUUUUAAAUUAGGAUAGAUAUUAGUAGAUAUUUUUAUAUAUUAAUUAAAAUAGCACUAAUCACUUUACUUUUUAUCGAAUAGUUUGAUGGAUAGAAAUUUCAUCUUUAAGGUAGAUAAGUGAAAUGAUCGAAAUUCAAAUUCUGGCUCCUUACAUAUAUAAUGCAAUGUCCUAUCAACUGAGUUAAUAAGCUCACGGGACAUAGUCAUUUUAUUUUUAUUACACCCUUUCCAAUUUUUAUCAAUUACUAGUAAAUGUCAUUUUUAAUUUUCAAUAUAUUAUUAUUAUUAUUAUUAUUAUUAUUAUUAUUAUUAUUAUUUUCAAUUGGAUUUCUUAAUUAAUACUAUGUGUACCAUUUUAAGUCAAUAUUUUAUAUUUAUAUUUACAGUAAUAAUAAAUACAUCAAUACUCAAUAAGUUAAUUUGUUAAAAUUAUUAUUAUCUUCUUUUUUUUUUCAUUUACAAACAUUUUCUUAAUCUAUGUGAAAUAAGAAAGAAACAGUCUAGAUAUAUAUCCCCUUAUAGUGAAGGAUAUCUUGUGAUGGGAUACAAAAUUGAGGUGAACAAUAUCCAUAGAAUAUCCCCUUAUAGUGUAGGAUAUCUUGUAAUAUAAUGGGAUAAAAAUUUGAGGUGAACAAAAUGCAUAGUUUAUUUGUAAGAUCAUAGAGAGUUGAUUAAUGAGAUUUCACUCUUCAUAAUUUAAACUAUUCUACAUUUGAAGGGUUUCUGCAUUCUGCAAAGUAAAUUUGAGCUAACUAUAUAUAUAAAGCACUUGAAGUGGAACAUGAACUUUUGUGGGCAAAACUUGUGUUACACUUCAAGAAUAUGAACAAAUUGUACUCUUGUAAAAAAAAUACUAUGAAAAAAAAUACUUUUUGUCAAAAAUUAAUAAAGACUUAUAGAAUAACUAUAGUUAAUUAAAACUUCAUGUUUCUUAAUGAAGGUGAAGCAAAGAGUAGUAGGAAAACAGAGUUAGAAAAAUAAUAAAAGAAUUACAUGCAUGCAUGUAGUCAAGUUGUUUUUCUUGACAAAUAUUGUCAAGUUGUGAUUGGGAUAUUUUGCAAGUUGUGCAUUACGUUAAAAUUAUUAAGGAGAAAUAGAGUUUGCUUGGGAGUGAAGUCAAUAGAAAAUUUUGUGAGUAACAAAUGCACAAGCACACAUGAUUACAAAUUUUGAGUCGGCAAAGGUUCCAAUUGCAGCGACUAUAGAGCAAGAUUAAUUAGCAUCCUAUUAUUAGAAGGUGACAGAUCUAAGAGUCAAUGUAAAUAUGAUUUCAUUAUUAGAACAAAAUCAACUAUGAUUAAGCUGAUUUCAUUGACAAAUUUUCAUUUUAGUUCAAAAGAAUGUAGCGGUAUACUCACACAUACUAAAUGCUGAAAAGUCGAUAGUGAAUUCAAACUUUUACUGAAAUAUAUAUUUUUCUAUCGAUUUUUUUUUAUGUCUGUAAGUGAAGUGGAAAAUAGAAAAUUACAACACAAAAUUUCGAGGUCCGAAUAAAAGUGUACAAUCUUGUAAUAAGGGAAAACAAUAAAAAAAAUUUGAGAAAAAAAGAAGUAAAGACUACUAAUUUCAAAAACAAGAAAUAAAAAACAAUUUAGAGCAUCCACAAUGGAGAUACUCAUUUUUUAGUACUUAACUGAACCUCACGUGUACACAUCACUCAUUUAUAANNNNNNNNNNNNNNNNNNNNNNNNNNNNNNNNNNNNNNNNNNNNNNNNNNNNNNNNNNNNNNNNNNNNNNNNNNNNNNNNNNNNNNNNNNNNNNNNNNNNNNNNNNNNNNNNNNNNNNNNNNNNNNNNNNNNNNNNNNNNNNNNNNNNNNNNNNNNNNNNNNNNNNNNNNNNNNNNNNNNNNNNNNNNNNNNNNNNNNNNNNNNNNNGUUCACUUGCGAAAAUUAUCCAUCACUAUACAUCAUUAUAAAUGGGAUCCAUAAAAAUAAAAUAGGUACUAAUGAGACCCACAAUAACUAUACAUCUAUUUUGUUUUUGUGGAUCCCAUUUAUAAAGAUGUAUAGUUAUUUGUGAGAUGUGUUAUUGAUAAGGCCUAUUUAGAACUUUUUAAGAGAUGUUGGGUUGGAGGGAUUGAGUACUUAUUAGAUACUAUUAUUAAAAAAUUAUAAAUCAGUAAUAUGUACACGUGGAGCCCGGUUAAGUACUAAAAAAUGAAUAUCUCCAUUGUGGAUGCUCUUGGCAUUGACAUAUAGAGGAAUGUUAAGGUCAAACUAUCAAACAAACUCUUGUAGCCACAUUCAUCUCUUGGGCCACAUCAUCACCUAUUUUUAUUCUUUACCUAGUAACCGGUUCUUCAAGUUUUUACAACACUGUUAAUUUUUUAGUUUUAAUUUAAUUCUUGCAAGUGCGUAUUCAAGUUUCUAUAAUGAGAAAAUUUCUUUUUACCACCCUAUUAGGUUGGCGAAAAUACCCUCCUAUAUAUAAUUUUUAUCUUUAUCGUUAUAAAAGGAAUAAAACUGAUCACUCCUUAAACAACUCUUUAAUCACCUCCUUAACCCUAAUUUGUAUUUAAUUUCCCUCCAAACAGCUAUUUAAAUUAAAAUAAAAUAAAAAAAUUCGUAUUAAGGGUUCCCAUGAGUCAUAGAAUAUGCAGCUGUAAUUAUUAUUCUCAAAAAAAUAGGUUUCACAUGUUGCAAUAGUUUCAUUCCAUUUUCUCUGCAGACUUCCUCCCCAAUCGCCUCGACUAUCGCCCUCUACUUCCUCCCUCACCGCCUCCACUUUCGGCCAUUGUCAUCUGAAGAGCACCGCCACAAAGUAUACAAACCUGACCAGUUUGAAAUUGGCUUCUUCUGCUUCAUGGCCGAUGUUAAGAGUCCCACAUCGGUUGAGAGAUGGCCUGACUAAGUGUUUAUAUACUAGAGGCAAUCCUCACCUUACAAGCCGGUUUUGUAAGGAUGAGNNNNNNNNNNNNNNNNNNNNNNNNNNNNNNNNNNNNNNNNNNNNNNNNNNNNNNNNNNNNNNNNNNNNNNNNNNNNNNNNNNNNNNUAGUGCUGGGCGUGAGGGGGUGUGUUAAGAGUCCCACAUCGGUUGAGAGAUGGCCUGACUAAGUGUUUAUAUACUAGAGGCAAUCCUCGCCUUACAAGCCGAUUUUGUAAGGAUGAGUUAGGCCCAAUACUCAUUUCUAAGAGCCGAGAAUUGCUUGCUUCACCUCCGAUGCUCUUCAAAGUUAUUAUUUGUAUAUGUAUGUUUAGAAGUUAUUAUUGGAGUAAAUGUCAUGGACAAAGUUCUAUUUAUAUGAGUAUUUAUGAAUCUAAAAAUCAAAUUAUAUAAAUAUUAUAUGUUGAAUUUUAUCUAUUAAAUCAUUUGUUAAUGAUAAUGAUAAUGAUAUGCUGGUAAAAAAAAAUUCAUAAUAGUAUGCAUGUGAAUAUGAUACUUCACAAAACUCGUGCAACGCACGAGUCGGAGUCUAGUAAUCCAUAAACAUUCAUACAAAGCCAACCCACUUGUUAUUGGGAUAUAAGUUAUCAACUUCAACUCAUUCACAGUAUCUCUUUUCAUCCCAUGUUUCUUUACUACUCCACAAUAUGUAGAAAAAUUAGGAAAAUGUUUUCGGAAUUCUUUUUAGUGUAAAUUUUUACACUGAAAAAAAACUUUCGAAAAUAUUUUUCGAAAUUUUCUGGGUAUUUUUCGGGGUAGAAUAGAAAUGCAAGGGUGGAAGAGAAAAAUUCCAACUCAUCCUCCUACGAGUUGCACAGUCCAACAAGCUAAAAGAGUCCAAAGUUCUUAUGUUUUUUAAAAUAUUUAAAUCUGUACUUCUGAAAAAUAUUUAUAUUUUAUACAUGAGUAGAAAGCAAAAGAAUAUCAAUAAAUUUAGUUAAAGUUGCUACCACAAUGUAUUUUUUGUUUGUAGAUGAAAUGACAAUCACCACAAAAAAUUACAAAACAGCAAGAUCAUCGGUUUGAACCAAAUAAAAAUGUUUAAUCUAACUAUAUUUUUAUUUAUCAGUUGAAUUAAUUCUUACAUAUUUCUACUACCAUUUAUAUCAACUAUACAUAGACAAUUAUAACUGCACAUGUUUGAGCAUGUAACGACAAACUUUUUAAGGUUUUUAACUAGUUGCCCAUGGUUCAAAUUCGGUCGAUGGAACUUCUCUUUUUAAUGUGAAUUUUUACCUUAUCCGUCAUAGGUAUUUCUUAUGGAUAUUGGAUCUAACUGUCAUCCUAGAUAGAGAUCCAAUUUCCUUAUUUCCAGGCUAGAAAUGUCUGAAGAGUGAAGAUUAUAUCAAUCUGUAUCUAGCAUGUUGUGGUACACAUUUGCAAUAUAGAUUACACAUGAUUGAUAAAAGUUCAUUAAGUAGUGUACAAAAAAUAAUGAUUGUAAAUUGACAUUUGGCUUUAAAACUUGGUUUAACAAUGAUAUAUAUCAUUCAGUUCCACUAAUUAAGCAACUUACAUGCUCAAGUCCAAUAAAUAACCCAAAAAAGAACAAUUUACAAUGAAUCAAAUUGCAUAAUUUAAAUAUGACAAGAACAUUCAUUCCACAUAAAAAUAAAUACAGUAUAGUACACAUACACACUGUGAUUUUGAUAAAAAAAACCACACAUUAUAGUUUUAUCAAAAUCAUAGUAUCACUGUAAUUUCGUUAAACUCACUUUAUUUCGACCGUGCACACAAAAUAAGAAAAACAAUGAAAGUAUAGUAACAUGAGUACUAAGCAUAUCCCUUGAAGUACUUUUGACAUGAUUCUAAGAACAUUGGAAACCAGAAGGAACAGAUUUUUCACAAGCACUAAGUA
This 11066-nucleotide long non-coding RNA is filed under the name Trifolium pratense (red clover). Its description in RNAcentral is "long non-coding RNA (TPRA_LNC000437)". Lineage: Eukaryota; Viridiplantae; Streptophyta; Magnoliopsida; Fabales; Fabaceae. The record is from RNAcentral.